CCCUUAGAUGUCCUGGGCUGCACGCGCGCUACACUGAUGUGUCCAGUAAGCACCUAACCUCUUCCGAAAGGAACGGGUAACCUUUGCAAAGCACAUCGUGAUGGGGAUAGAUGAUUGCAAUUCUUCAUCUUCAACGAGGAAUGCCUAGUAAACGCAAGUCAUCAGCUUGCAUUGAUUACGUCCCUGCCCUUUGUACACACCGCCCGUCGCUCCUACCGAUUGAAUGAUCCGAUGAAUACCAUGGAUUGAGAGUACGAAUAGGUUCGCUUAUUUCUGCUGCUCGAGAAGUGGAGUAAAUCUUAUCAUUUAGAGGAAGGAGAAGUCGUAACA
This 330-nucleotide ribosomal RNA is filed under the name uncultured eukaryote. Its description in RNAcentral is "partial 18S ribosomal RNA". It matches the Rfam family "Eukaryotic small subunit ribosomal RNA", at positions 1470 to 1796 of the family's 1831-position model. The record is from RNAcentral.